Molecule: long non-coding RNA, 2730 nt
Filed under: Sorghum bicolor (sorghum)
Lineage: Eukaryota; Viridiplantae; Streptophyta; Magnoliopsida; Poales; Poaceae
Description: long non-coding RNA (SBIC_LNC017278)
Source: RNAcentral
CCUAGCUUUUGCUCUGUCUAUGAAUAAUGAAUAAUGAUCAAGGGGGUGCCUCCUCCAGGGGCCAGGGGGUCUGGUUUUAUAGUCCCCUCAAGUGAACCUGGGCCGUCGGAUCAAACCGACAUUGAUUGAACGGUUAUUCUUGAUCCUUUAGGUCGGUGGAGCAUAAUCCGCGAGAUUGAGCGUGAUUGGCCGAAAAAGGUGGGCGGGCGCCCUAAGGACUUGGGCGGGCACCCUGUCCCUGACUUCGUUCGGUCUCCGCUUCCUUCCCGUGGCUUCUGGAGUCUUCUAGAUGUAAGAUAAUUGCGCGGCACGUUGAUAUCUCUAUGUAAUCCCGACGUGUGGGCCUUUCUUCCUUAUUUCCUGAUAACCCCCUGCAGAAAUAGACAAACACCAAAACUCAUGGAAUUCUGUUAGAUAAAACCCUAAGUCUCGAUGUUGAUUUCAUUUGGAUCCUUUUCUUUGUUUAUUUGAUAGUUAAAUUUGAUACUUAAGGACCGUCAACAAACUCCCCCAAGCUUACCUCUUGCUCGUCCCUGAGCAAGGAUAGACUCAGCUAUGGAUCAUAAGUUGUUGCAAUAUCUUUAAAAAUUGACGGUACACAUGCUUUUAAAUGAGAUCUCAUCUCUGAGAGUAAACUGUCAAGACUUAAAACUUAUUUACUUUACCUUUUACCAUGGGACUUGUAACCUUCACUUCUGUCUUGAGUGGUUAAAAGAUAGAACAGUCCAGUCAAGUGCCAUGUCGCUUAUUCUUUAUCAGCUAUAGCACUGGAGUUUUUUUUUGCAGAUUUUCAAAUAAAACUCAGAGAUUCCUUUGUAUGACUCUCUCAUAUCUCUCUUUUGUGGUAUUUCUGGAUCCUUACCAAGGCAGUGAUGGUAUAUGCCUUCUCUCAAAAUAUGUGGUAUUUGUGGUAUAAGGGAUAGUGACAUUGUCUUCACUCUCACCCUACUCUAAUAAGGCUUUAAUAUCUGGAGCUCAUAGGUGGGAGACAAAAUAUACAUACUUACAAGACAUUUAUUGUAUAGUCAAACCAUGGAUCCAAAGAAACAAAUCAAUAAGCCAAAUCAAGAUGUGCAUGUGUGGCGAAUGAAUAGUGUAUGGUGAUGAUGGUGAUAACAAUGGUGAAAGUCUAAUUCUACUUUUGCUCUUUUGAGGGGAUACAUACCUUCCUUGCUUUUUGAAACUUUAUGAGGAGAAUGAGAUGCUCUUCUUUUUCUUUUCUCUCAGAUGGGUAUCCUGUACCCCUAAUUCUACUGUCGGACACUUGUCCAUUUUUACCUCUCGUCUCACUCUUUUUCUUUUCUUUCGAGGUUCCGGGCACUUGCCCCUUUUUAUUUCCUCGUUUAUUUAUUUUUUUUUCUUUUUUUUCAGAGCACUCAUCUCUUGAGAUAAUAUAGCAAGUGGUAGUAGCAAGAUAACUUGAGCUUUAAAUUAUAACAGUUAUGUCUAAACUUGAGAGAGAACUUCAAAUUUGCAAAUUAGGCAGAGCAACUAUUGAUCAUAUCCAUGCUAGAGUUUUAUUAUUAAGAUUCAGAUUAGCAUAGCCACUUUAUUUAUUUAUUAAACACACUGAGCAAAAGAUAUAUAUAUAUAAGCACAAAAUCUUUAUUUGGUUUUUCAUAGUUUAUGUAUUUUAAUAUUCUAAUAUAAUAUAAGUAUAAAGAUAGGUAGAAAUACUUAGCGAGAUAAAUGGGGGUGCUCUCCCCCAAGCUGAAUUUUGACGUAAUUUCUCUUGAUGUAGCUAGCAGGUGGCAGAGGUGUAUUUGAAAGUCAGCAGCAUUCUGACAGCGAUUAGAAUGUCCUCCGUCUGCUAGUCUUCUUGAUUCUUAAAUUCUGUGGAGCUCAAAUAGACAACAAAGCUUGUGGAACUAAUUAAGUGUUAGCAUAAAUAUCUAGCCUUCAUCACGUUGAGCUUCCUCAAUGAAUAUUACUCCCUGUUUUUAUAUUUUUAUUUUAUAAAGUAGAAAAGAAAUAUUUAUUUUAUUUUUAUGCCACCACAGUGAAGGUACCUAUGGGUUUUAUGCCACUCGUAUACUCACAUGGGGUUUAGUAUUUUUUAACAUUUUUAUUUUCUUUUCAAGAUAGCAUGAUUAACUAAUAAUCUAUUUAAGGAAAGUAAAUAAUUAAAUGGAAAAGGAAAUGCAGAAAGGAUAAAUACCUUUCGGCGAGGGUUCAAUGUUUUAAGUCUUCUUGUCAAGACUUCUCAUCGUGUUCAUUCUUCAGGUGCGUCAUUUGAUUCAGGUGCGGACCUUGACGUCUGCACCUUUUAAUACGGUGUCACCCAUGUUCUUCGUUUGCCCAGCAGUUUGAAGUGCGGUGUUAGCAGUAUCUUGCUCAGUGUGUUUAUGCUCGUAGUGUACCUGCUCAUAGAGACAAGGCAGAGAUCAAGUGCAUGGGCCCUGUUGGUGGAAAACACCAACAGAACCAAAAGUGUAUUUGUUCUUCUCUAACCUUAAGCAUUGUUGAUGCGAAACUGAUCUGCAAACACAAAGGGCUAAUACCCGAUUCGAAUGUUAAGGCGUGCCAGCCGAUUUAACCUUGCUAUCGGCAAAGGUGAUAACUCGAAUACUUUAGUCCUGACAACAGCGAUGCGCCCGGAUGUCACGGCUAAGAGGUACUCACGCGGAACUCGAGAACACGCCGAGCUUAAGUCGACGAAUUCCUAAGAACUCGUAAUAAAAGGAAAAAAGUAUGACGAAGUCGUCGAAAAGUAAAUGCUGGAAUAUGAGU